Melopsittacus undulatus (budgerigar) is the source of this 210-nucleotide long non-coding RNA. RefSeq lists it as uncharacterized. The transcript has 3 exons. NCBI's taxonomy places the organism in Eukaryota, Metazoa, Chordata, Aves, Psittaciformes, Psittaculidae. The record is from RefSeq and is a predicted model, not a curated record.
ACUUCCGCUUCCGCCGCCGCUGCCAUGGCCCGCGGGUUCUGGAGUGUACUCGGGACUGAGGGAGACACCGAGGAUGAGGAUUUCCUCUCGGCACUGGCUGAGGCCGAGCUCCAGUUCAUGGCUCCCCCCCCCGCGCCCCCCAUCCCAAUGGGACAGCCCCGGACCCCGUCCCUGCGGCCGCUCCCAUCACCCCCAGCGCAGGGGGGAGCU